Molecule: ribosomal RNA, 548 nt
Filed under: uncultured Glomus
Lineage: Eukaryota; Fungi; Glomeromycota; Glomeromycetes; Glomerales; Glomeraceae
Description: SSU rRNA
Rfam family: Eukaryotic small subunit ribosomal RNA
Source: RNAcentral
UUGGAGGGCAAGUCUGGUGCCAGCAGCCGCGGUAAUUCCAGCUCCAAUAGCGUAUAUUAAAGUUGUUGCAGUUAAAAAGCUCGUAGUUGAAUUUCGGGAUCAGUGGGUCGGUCGUGCCACUGGUAUGAACUGGCCCUACUGGUUCCUCCUUCUUGAAGAACUGUAAUGCCAUUAAUUUGGUGUUGCAGGGAAACAGGACUGUUACUUUGAAAAAAUUAGAGUGUUUAAAGCAGGCAAUCGCUUGAAUACAUUAGCAUGGAAUAAUGAAAUAGGACGUUCGAUCCUAUUUUGUUGGUUUCUAGGAUUGACGUAAUGAUUAAUAGGGAUAGUUGGGGGCAUUAGUAUUCAAUUGUCAGAGGUGAAAUUCUUGGAUUUAUUGAAGACUAACUACUGCGAAAGCAUUUGCCAAGGAUGUUUUCAUUAAUCAAGAACGAAAGUUAGGGGAUCGAAGACGAUCAGAUACCGUCGUAGUCUUAACCAUAAACUAUGCCGACUAGGGAUCGGACGAUGUUAAUUUUUCUUGACUCGUUCGGCGCCUUACGGGAAAC